RNAcentral lists this non-coding RNA (46 nucleotides) under Schistosoma mattheei. Lineage: Eukaryota; Metazoa; Platyhelminthes; Trematoda; Strigeidida; Schistosomatidae. The record is from RNAcentral.
GCACUGCUGAGGAGUCCCACAAUAGGACGAAGUGUCCAUCCAGUGC